GAUGAAGAACGCAGCGAAAUGCGAUAGGUAGUGUGAAUUGCAGAUGUAACGUGAAUCAUCGAAUCUUUGAACGCAAAUUGCACUCUCUGGUAUUCCGGGGAGUAUGCCUGUUUGAGGGUCGCCAAAUCGACAUCGAAAUUCAUUUGCUUUUGUAAAUGUUUAUCGGAUUUGAGCCGUCUUUUUAUUUUUUUUAAAGUGGCUUAAAAUGUAUUUUUUUGGUAUCGAAAAACGUUAUUUUACGAUCCAAUCGAUCAAAAAACAAACGUUUCGAAUGCCGUCUUUUAAUGUAAUACGUUUGACUGUGUCAUACAAUCAUGGUUUCAUUCGUAUACGAGUUUAAUUUUUGACCUCAAAUCAGGUAAGAACACCCGCUGAACUUAAGCAUAUCAAUAAGCGGAGGA
This 401-nucleotide unclassified non-coding RNA is filed under the name soil metagenome. RNAcentral's name for it is "partial contains 5.8S ribosomal RNA, internal transcribed spacer 2, and large subunit ribosomal RNA". The stretch from base 1 to 121 matches the Rfam family "5.8S ribosomal RNA", at positions 35 to 154 of the family's 154-position model. The record is from RNAcentral.